Molecule: ribosomal RNA, 422 nt
Filed under: uncultured bacterium
Lineage: Bacteria
Description: bacterial SSU rRNA
Rfam family: Bacterial small subunit ribosomal RNA
Source: RNAcentral
GGGCCCGCACAAGCGGUGGAGUAUGUGGUUUAAUUCGAUGCAACGCGAAGAACCUUACCAGGGUUUGACAUCCUGCGAAUCUCUUGGAAACAGGAGAGUGCCUUCGGGGAACGCAGUGACAGGUGGUGCAUGGCUGUCGUCAGCUCGUGUUGUAAAAUGUUGGGUUAAUUCACAUAACGAGCGUAACCCUUACUCUUUAUUAUUAUAGUUGAAGAGAACGAAUAGUUCGGAAUUAAGUUAGGGGAAGAAGCGGGACGACGGCAAGUCAGUAUGCCCUCUUUUUUCUGGGCAACACACGUGCUACAGGAGUUGAGAUAGUAGAAAAUAAUUUUAGCGAGAAGAAGAGUUGAUUAGAAAACUUAACUGAAGUUCAAACUUAUUUCUGGAAUUUGUAACAAUGAAGAAGGAAUCGCUAGUAAUCG